This 252-nucleotide ribosomal RNA is filed under the name uncultured bacterium. RNAcentral describes it as "partial 16S ribosomal RNA". It matches the Rfam family "Bacterial small subunit ribosomal RNA", at positions 524 to 776 of the family's 1533-position model. The record is from RNAcentral.
UACGUAGGGAGCAAGCGUUGUCCGGAAUUACUGGGUGUAAAGGGAGCGUAGGCGGGAAGACAAGUUGAAUGUUAAAUCUAUCGGCUCAACCGGUAGCCGCGUUCAAAACUGUUUUUCUUGAGUGAAGUAGAGGUUGGCGGAAUUCCUAGUGUAGCGGUGAAAUGCGUAGAUAUUAGGAGGAACACCAGUGGCGAAGGCGGCCAACUGGGCUUUUACUGACGCUGAGGCUCGAAAGCGUGGGGAGCAAACAGG